UGGAAACUGUAAACCUGGAGUUCGGAGUAUAUUUCCUCCUUUGACUGGUUCCCACCUGAAAGAAGGUUCAAGAUUUUGAUUUCUUUUUGUCUCUUUCUCUCCCAAACACAGUGUGUUGGGCAAAUAUAAAGCAUCUUGUGAUUUGGUCUUACUUGUACUUUGUAACCAAGCAAUGGAGAAACACAGCCAUCUGCAAUUUACUGAAGUCUGCUUCGACGCAAAAUCUCAUGCCACCAUUAAAUGCCAUGAAAUUCUUUGUGGCUCCAUUUAUUUCUACGCCCUGCAGUUAUAGAAGUAGAAGAAUUGUUGAGUUCCAAAGUAGAAUUUUAUGUGAUUAUUGUUUUAGAAGCAAUCUAGCGCGGAUGGAAUUUUAUGUGAAAGUCGGUUAGUGACAAUUAUAAAGUGCUUUCUAAAAUCCCUCCAUGUCCACUUUGUUCAACGGUAGAGAAAAAAUAAAAAUAAAAAAACAGUUUGAAGAGGAUGUGAUUAUCGGCAAACCAUUUCUCACCUAAAGGGGUUUUUGCUUCAGUUGAUAUAUCCUCUCCAACAAAGCUCGAAAAGUUGACGUUUAAUUCUAUUUUUAAAGUGGCGCGAGACGGCGUUUUUUAUGGCGGAAUUAGUGGAGGCGGAUAGGAAUUCGACGGACGAGUUACAGACGUUACGGAUUCCGGCGAUGAUUAACAGUAAAUUAAAGAUUCAGUAUAUAUCUCUAGUCAGAAUAUUGGUAUUGGUAGUCUCACAUUCAUGCCAGAAACCAUAUGAAAUCCAAGCACCACAAACGUGAUUGUUGAUAUAAAAGAAGCAUCGUCACCAUGAGUACAGGCACAACCAUUCAGAAAGGGCACACUGGUAUAUGAUGAGAUUACAAAAUUUAUAUACGACCAUUGGUGAAACUAUGAUUUAAUCUUGGUUGGAGCAGUGACCGAAUACAUUCUCUAUUUUCUAAAUUUGUCUACAAUAUGAAGAUUUACUAACAAGUUGUUAUCCUCUUCUGCAGUCCAAGAAAAAAAAAGAAUAGUAGCAACGCUGAUUGGUAAGAUGCAAAGUUGGAACAUUUUUGUGUUUUGCUUCUUAGCCAUAUAGCCUGACUUGGAUUGACAUUGUUUGCUGUUUCUGUAAAAGUUACUCCAUUCUAGUUUUCUCCAUGAGCCGUAUGUGAAAGCCAUCUGGAAACUGUAAACCUGGAGAUCGAAGUACAUUUCCACCUUUGAUUGGUUCCCACCUGAAAGAUUCAUAGAUUUAGAUGAGUUUUUUUUUUUCUUUUGUCUCUUGCUCUCCCUGACACAAAGUGUGUUGGACAGAUAUGGAACAUCUUGUAAUUUGUUCUUACCUGUACUUUGUCACCAAACAAUGGAGAAACACAGCCAUUUGCACUUUAGUGAAGUCUGUUCCAACGCAAAAUCUGAGGCCACCACCGAAUGCCAUGAAACUCUUUGUCGCUCCAUUUAUUUCCACUCCCUGCAGUUAAAGAAGUAUAAGAAUCAUUUUAUGUGAUUUUGAUUUAGUAGCAAUCUUGCAGGUAAAAGUUGAUGGAAUUGUGAAUUAACCCACCUCCCAUCUUGAUGGAUUAAAGGUCAAGGGAUCUUGGUAUUUUGCUGGAUUCAGGUGCACAGCUGGGGGACACACCAUUACUGCCCAACCAGCUGGAAUGAUUCAGGAAUCAUUUCACAUACCCUUAGUUUUUUCAGCACUGAAGGGUCGUCAGAAAGGAAUUUAAUUGCUAAAGUUAGAGCCAGGGAAGUUGUUUCAAAGCUAGCAAAUAGUAGAACGAACAUCAAAUCCAGAGCAAUUGCCUCUGUCAGAAUUGUUCCCUCUUUCUGAAGUUCUUCAAGGACAAAAUAAAAAAAGUCAUUUCGGCUAUUCCCUUGCAUUGCCCGUCUUUCAUUUAGCAGAUUCUUUAGCAUUUUCAUUGCAUUUUUCCUUCCCUGAAAAAGUAAAACAUUCAAGAAUCAAUACACAAAAGAAUGGAUUUUUUUUAACCUUGUUAUUUUGAACUGGAAUGACAAGGUUAACUACCUGUAAACAUUUGUGAUAUGCUGUUCCAGGAAUAUCCAGGGGAAAGGAGAUUAAUCCUUGUAUGAAAGCAACAAAAUUCUCCCUCAGAUUCUGGGUGGCAUUGUCUUGGUCAUAACUUAUCAGCUUUUUGGCCGUCAGAUCAAAUAUCAUCUGCAAAUAAAGACAUAAGGAUUGAUGAAGAAGAUGAUGAAUGAUAAUUUGCAGAAAUGGAAGUAAAAGAAACGUGGGAAGAAUAGACAGGUAGGAGAAGAAAGGGCUGGCAUGUAUCUUAUGAUUCUCAUCAAACCAUAAGAAGCUCUACUUAAAUAGCAAGCUAAUGCAUACAACUGUUCAAUGUAAUUAAUUAUAUAUUAUUUUUCCUUUUUCACUUUAUUAUUAUUUUUGUACUCCAAGUAUACAACUAGAAUGAAUAAUUUAGAAUUCACUCUGUCUA
Gossypium raimondii (Peruvian cotton) is the source of this 2449-nucleotide long non-coding RNA. RefSeq lists it as uncharacterized. Lineage: Eukaryota; Viridiplantae; Streptophyta; Magnoliopsida; Malvales; Malvaceae. The record is from RefSeq and is a predicted model, not a curated record. The transcript has 5 exons.